GACAGAGGGGGCAAGCGUUGCUCGGAAUCACUGGGCGUAAAGGGCGCGUAGGCGGGAUGGCAAGUCGGUCGUGAAAUCCUUCGGCUCAACCGAAGAACGUCGGCCGAUACUGCCGUUCUUGAGGGAUGCAGAGGAGAUUGGAAUUCCCGGUGUAGCGGUGAAAUGUGUAGAGAUCGGGAGGAACACCGGUGGCGAAGGCGGGUCUCUGGGCAUCUCCUGACGCUGAGGCGCGAAAGCUAGGGGAGCGAACAGG
RNAcentral lists this ribosomal RNA (253 nucleotides) under uncultured bacterium. RNAcentral describes it as "partial 16S ribosomal RNA". It matches the Rfam family "Bacterial small subunit ribosomal RNA", at positions 524 to 776 of the family's 1533-position model. The record is from RNAcentral.